AGUGAACGCUGGCGGUAGGCCUAACACAUGCAAGUCGAACGGCAGCACAGUAAGAGCUUGCUCUUACGGGUGGCGAGUGGCGGACGGGUGAGGAAUACAUCGGAAUCUACUUUUUCGUGGGGGAUAACGUAGGGAAACUUACGCUAAUACCGCAUACGACCUACGGGUGAAAGCAGGGGAUCUUCGGGCCUUGCGCGAUUGAAUGAGCCGAUGUCGGAUUAGCUAGUUGGCGGGGUAAAGGCCCACCAAGGCGACGAUCCGUAGCUGGUCUGAGAGGAUGAUCAGCCACACUGGAACUGAGACACGGUCCAGACUCCUACGGGAGGCAGCAGUGGGGAAUAUUGGACAAUGGGCGCAAGCCUGAUCCAGUCAUACCGCGUGGGUGAGGAAGGCCUUCGGGUUGUAAAGCCCUUUUGUUGGGAAAGAAAAGCAGCAGGUUAAUACCCCGCUGUUCUGACGGUACCCAAAGAAUAAGCACCGGCUAACUUCGUG
Molecule: ribosomal RNA, 492 nt
Filed under: uncultured bacterium
Lineage: Bacteria
Description: partial 16S ribosomal RNA
Rfam family: Bacterial small subunit ribosomal RNA
Source: RNAcentral